Molecule: long non-coding RNA, 248 nt
Filed under: Ananas comosus (pineapple)
Lineage: Eukaryota; Viridiplantae; Streptophyta; Magnoliopsida; Poales; Bromeliaceae
Description: long non-coding RNA (ACOM_LNC037222)
Source: RNAcentral
UUAAGUGUUAAUAAAAAUAAUAAUCUUAUAUUAGAUACAGGAUAAUAUUUUAAAGUUGUUUAGAAAUAUGUUGUUUUUGAUUAUUCUUUGAUAUAUAUACAACUUAUGGGAUAAGCAGAAAGUAAAUCAAUUUUGCGUUUGAAUGAAAGUUAAGUUAUUUUCGAAAAUAAAAAAAAUAGUGCUUGAAUAAUUAGAUAAAAAUAAUAAAAAUAAGAGUAAUCAUACUUUUAAAAUAAUAAUAUUUUACA